GCAUCCAGAGUGGCUGGCCACCAUGAAAAAGAACUAUCCCAAAUCCCAGGUUCCACCGAAGCAGACUGAAGCAAGGGUUGUCUGAGUGCUGUGUGUGUGUGUGUGUGUGUGUGUGUGCGUGUGUGACUGUAUAUACACACAUGUGCAUGUGUAACUGGAUAGCUCUGCUCACUAAGUCUGUAGGAGGGUUUUUGCCCAGAGUGGCUGGCCCUCCCUGCAGCACACAAUUGGUCUACCACAUCCUGCCCCUCCGCUUCCUCUGCUCCUUUCCCAGCUCAAGAAGCCAAGAUGGGAAGUCUCUCACGACCCUGUGGCUUGGCCAGGAGAAAGCCUGAACUUGAUACAGCUGCCUUGCCUGGGGCCUGCCCACAGAAAGUAGUGAGCUCAGCCCAGGUGUCCAAUCAUUUGGGAUUUGUGACCUGGUACCUUGGGUCUCCACUUCACAAAGGGGAAUCAGACAGGAAUGAGGAGGAACUACAGAAUCACAGCAGACACCAGCACAGCAAGGCCAAGCCAAAGCAAUGAGCCAAGUUUGAAGGACAAGUGACCAGUUUUGUUCUGGCAGGCUCAACAACACUGGGAAAAAAUUACAGUGUGUGCAUGGGAAACAGAUUCCUCCUUCCUCGACUAACUGACACACAGGAGAGCGGGCACAGCGAAGGGCAAUGGCGCUGCGGCUGAUAGAGCUGGAUACAUGGAAAAAUUUAAAUAGCAUCAAGGGCCUGGCCUACCCUGAAUCCAGGCAGGAAAUUCAAGGGUAAUAUAACACUUCGCUGUUAAGUAAUGCCACUGGAAUAAAAGCAUGUUCAGGAUGA
Long non-coding RNA from Cavia porcellus (domestic guinea pig), 815 nucleotides. RefSeq lists it as uncharacterized. The record is from RefSeq and is a predicted model, not a curated record. The transcript has 3 exons. NCBI's taxonomy places the organism in Eukaryota, Metazoa, Chordata, Mammalia, Rodentia, Caviidae.